Molecule: long non-coding RNA, 499 nt
Filed under: Homo sapiens (human)
Lineage: Eukaryota; Metazoa; Chordata; Mammalia; Primates; Hominidae
Description: HSALNT0034872
Source: RNAcentral
CCAGGCUCAAGCGAUUCUCAGGUCUUGGCUUCCUGAGUAGCUGGGGUUACAGGCACGCACCACCAUGCCCAGCUAAUUUUUGUGCUUCCAGUAGAGAUGGGGUUUCGCCAUGUUGUCCAGGCUGGUCUCCAACUGCUGACCUCAAGUGAUCUGCCCACCUUGGCCUCCCAAAGUCCCGGGAUUACAGGUGAGAGCCACCACGCCAGACCCUACAGCCUUUUUUCUUGUGCCGCCACUAGAGCAGGGAGCCAGAAACAGUCUCUCUCUUAGGCUCCUUCAGUCAUGAGCCUCCAGUGUUCACAGCUCAAGAUCUAGCGUGGUCCCACCAAAGCCUCUCACCUUGGCCUGGAUGUGAGAGAAAAGCACCCAUUCUCGUUCCCCACAGGAGGGGAUAUAAUGCCAUAAUACUGAAUAUUUUUCCAAAGACAUUUCUGCUCCAAGCUUCUUCAAUUCAACAAUUCUAUGAGAUAUGAGACAUACAUAUAUUCUCGAUUGGAAA